GAUGAACGCUGGCGGCGUGCCUAAUACAUGCAAGUCGAGCGAACAGACGAGGAGCUUGCUCCUCUGACGUUAGCGGCGGACGGGUGAGUAACACGUGGAUAACCUACCUAUAAGACUGGGAUAACUUCGGGAAACCGGAGCUAAUACCGGAUAAUAUAUUGAACCGCAUGGUUCAAUAGUGAAAGACGGUUUUGCUGUCACUUAUAGAUGGAUCCGCGCCGCAUUAGCUAGUUGGUAAGGUAACGGCUUACCAAGGCAACGAUGCGUAGCCGACCUGAGAGGGGGACCGCCAACACUGAAACUGGAACCCGGUCCAACCCCCACGGGGGGGCGGCGGAAGGAAACCUCCGCAAUGGGGCGAAGCCCUGCCGGAGCAACGCGGGGGAGUGAAUAAGGGUCUUCGAUUCGUAAACCUUUGUAAUUAGGAAGAACAAAUGUGUAAGUAACUAUGCACGUCUUGACGGUACCUAAUCAGAAAGCCACGGCUAACUACGUG
RNAcentral lists this ribosomal RNA (496 nucleotides) under uncultured bacterium. RNAcentral's name for it is "partial 16S ribosomal RNA". It matches the Rfam family "Bacterial small subunit ribosomal RNA", at positions 28 to 507 of the family's 1533-position model. The record is from RNAcentral.